CAACAGAAGGAAUCUCAUCGCUAAGGGAAGCUCAAGACCCCCAGGAUCUCAGUGUCAGACAGCGGGAUCCUGGCUGCCUCCCUGGAGUUUACCCAAAUCCUGCUGGAUUCCUCUCUGGCCCAUCUAACAGAGGAAGCACUGAUUUUGCUUCUGACAACUGCAUUUUCAGCAAACCAAGCACUCCCCCUGCAGAAGUCCCCCUUGCACACCUGGGCUGGCCGUGCGGAUGCACACAGCAGCGCCCCUUUGCACGGCUGCAUUUUCUCCAAGCACAGGCUGUAAUUUCCCCACGCCUUCCCCUGCGGUGCUGGUGGGAUGAGAUGUCCCUGGGCUCUGGGUGCUGCCUGUCAGGCACUCUGCAGCCACUGCUGUAUUUUUAUUCAUUAAGGGAGUGAGCGGCGGAAACCGCCAAAUGUCUCCCAUGGUAUCAGCGCACUCUUUUUAAGGUGAUGUGGGUCUGAUCUCGUCAAAAUUAAUGGCUUAUGGUUAUUCAUGCUAUUAUUCUUAAUGGGGCCAAGCAUAUACUGUACCCAGAAAGAGGCAGCGCUUGACUUGUCAAAGAUUUAUGGCAUAUCAUGACCCGGCUGGGCUGACUGUAACAUAUAAAAACUUCAUUGCUAAUAAUGAUGCUGUGCUCAGAAUAAAAAGGAAUGGGGAUGGAAAGGCACUGCAGGCAUCCAUGGAUCCCGGUAUUUUCUCAAGUUGGUGGUCUUAUAGGACCUUGGUUCAUCGGAGGGUACGAGAUGCAGCAAGAAGGGGUCUGCGAGGAGGUGGGCUUCAGGCUUUAUGGCAAGAGCCAGCCUUCUAGUUUGCAUUUGCAGAGCGAAUAUUAUCCUUAUGUACCCUACGAUGCUCAUCCUGCUUUCAAAGUAGUAUAGAGCUCUUUGCAGAACCACUACAGGUCCCUAAAAGGAGGUUGCGGCAAGGUGGGGGUCACCCAGGUGACAGCGAUGGGAGGAGAGGUGAUGGCUUUAAGUUGUGGCAGGGGAGCAUCAGGUUGGACGUUAGGAAAAGCUCCAUCAGAGUGGUUGGGCACUGGAACAGGCUGACCAGGGAGUGGUGGAGUCACCAUUUCUGGGGGCGUUUGAGAAAUGUGGCACUGAGGGAAGUGGUCAGCGGGCAUGGUAAGGGUGGGCUGGGGUCGGGCUUAGGGAUCUUAGAGGUCUUUUGCAACCUUCGUGGUUCUGUGAUGCUAUGACAUAGGAUCAGACUCUUAGAACCACUGGUGAAGAAGUGCCUGCACCAUGGGAGGCAGCGGGAGCUCAGGGAUGUAAUGGGACGUCGAGUGAAGACAGCAGAGCUCAGGACAGCACAGCAGAUUCCACUGGUGUGAAAUAAUGAAAUUCAGCUGAGCAGGGGAACCCCAUCCUAAUUAAAACUCAGAUGCUGCAAACAUCCGAGCACAGCCUGAACGAUCGUGGAGACACUCAGUGAAACCACCAGGACUUCGGAGGACACAGACUGAAAAUUGCCUUAAUUAAAUAAAAAGAAAGAAAAAACACAGAGAUUUGUAAACAUUGUGGGGCUCCUGAAUGCUAAUUCCUGAGUGCAGAAAAACCCAUUCUCCCGUAUGCUUAUUAAAAACAUAUGUCUCUGCCCAUUAGGCUGCAGAGAAAAUGCUUGUUUGUUCUUUUGCUAGAAAGAAACGUUCUUCUGAUUGCUAAUAAAUAUUUCUGUAACAGAGGGAAGCCUCCUAGGGAACAGACUCCUCUAGGAGCGGGUCUGGGUUUCUUCUUUGCUCUAGGUGCAUGAUUUCUUAUUUUUAAUCAAUGCAUUCAUUAUGAUUAGCCUGACAAAUAAAGCAUCCCUAACUCACAACAAGAACUGGGAAGAAAUAGGAAAAGGGCAGCUUGGAACCACAGAUCUGAGGCUUUAAAAUGAAAUAAAAAAUAAAAAAAAUAAAAAAAAAAGUAUAGAAAUUUUGCCUAGUUUUGAUGUCUUAAACACUCGGGUCCCCUGGUUCAUUAUGAGAAAACUGUCUCUGUAACUGAAAGACUGAAAGGCCUUGAUCAAAGCCUUAAUAUUUCUGCAUCAGAGCAAGAGAGAGAUUUAAAUUGCCAUUAAACCCUAAGGUGAGCCUAACCUGCCCAAUUACAGGGCUAACACCCCAUGGCUCUGGGAUCUGUGAAGUGUGUGUGUGUUUUAAUGGGGAUUUCACGCUGGACUGGCAGUUCUGGAGCCUUGACUUCCCCAUGGGCCACAGAGGAGGUGGAAUGAAGGAAGCUGAGUUAAAUCCUGCAUCACAUCAGUGCUUUGAUGGAUUGCUGGCAGCACUCCCAGCAUGUGCUGGGACAACCUGAGAUAAGAUGCGAUUCCACAUCAGCGUGGAACAUUGUUCACCAACGUUGCAAUGUCCACGCGUGUCUCAUUUGGUUUGUCGUGUUCCAAAUCUAUUGAUUUCAGUGUGAAUCUCUUGGAUUUGCUUUCACCCCAGGGAGCAGAGGCAGUUGCAAAGGGCCCGCUUGAAAUGGGGUGGCUCCAUCCAGUUGGGUGCAAUGACCAGGGUCUGUUCCCACCCAAGGGCUUGGGAUCACACCAGGCUCCUUCAGGAGGACAUCACAAGAGAAGACUCACAGGGGCAACGUCUGAAUCCAACGGGCUGGUAUCAAUCAGCAGAGACUUUUGACAUACCACCGAAUUUUCCAAGAUCACCACCGAACUGAAAAAUGGACUACACUGUAUUGGUUGUGUUUACCCAACCUGCUGCUGCUGCGCCAAUUUUCAUGGCACCAGAGGGUUCCUGAUGCGUGCCCAUACAUGUUGUACAUCUGGAGGAGACCAGGUACGUACCAGCGACUCUCGACACUUCUCCUGCCAAACACUUUUCCUUCCUGUCUUGCUUAUAAAUGACUCAGUUUUAAUGCAGUUAUUUGAAGUGUGUUUCAAUUAACUGAGAUCUGGGGGAUUCUUCUCCUUCAAGCUAAUCAGAGAUCGCUGGGAGAGACCAGAACACCUCAAAGCAUCCCAGAGAAAGGAUGGGUACACAUAGGGUUUUACCAGCGUGCCCCAUGCCUUCAAACAUGGGUACAAAGCAAUAAAAUCACAGCUCAAAACACAGGUAUCUUUGGGCUCUGCCUCAGGUUCGGUGCUGGGGGAUCUUGCUGUUUGUGGCAGGGAGCUGGAAUGAGGACUUUGGAAUUUGCUGAUGGCAAUAAAAUAGCAUGCUGUCUUGGAACCGAUGCACACAGCACAGCUCCUGGCUCGUGCUUUUUUCUUCGUGUGGGUUUUUCGUAAAGAAAGGAGCCUUAAGUCUCAUGCAAACUGUUCCCACUGGGUGGACAAGAAAGGAAGAUUUCAACUAACCAUUGGAAAUUGCAGGGGUUCGUGUGCCAUCUGCAUCCCUGAAAAUGCAACAACCAACACUGACAAAUGAGUUUGUCAUCUCAUCUGCUCCAAAUGGAGAGGAAGUUAAUGCCAACAGCUUCUGCCGUGCAAAGGCUGCCCAGUCCUGCCACCAGCAAGCUGAAUUUGGAGCCAGCCACCCCAACGCCACAGGUUUUGGGUGGACAGUAGGUGCCAACCUAUUGCAUGUUUUAAGACCACACAGCACAGCCAGUAUCCAAAGCUGUUGUCCUGAAACAUAAUCCUGGCUGGUACCAACAAUGGCAAACCAGUGAGGGAACAGAUAGAAGCACACAGAACUGUGCAGACUGCGCCCAUGCUACCUGGAAGAUGGAUAAAAAAGAGUUGGCCAGUGCUGAAAGAGCAUGAAUGACUGCUUUCGAGAAAUAAAGGGUGAAUAUCUUGCAAGUGUUCUGCAGUAUAUGGAGUUUCUUGUGUGGUUCAUAAGAUACUUAAACUAAUGAAAGGUAUCUGCAGUCAUGGAAUUGCUUGAGUUGGAAGGGACCCUUAAUGGCCAUCUGGUCCAACUCCCUGCACUGAACAGGGAUACCUGCAGCUCCAUCAGGUGCUCAGAGCCCUGUCCUCAGAGCCUGACCUUGAAUGUCUCCAAGGAUGGGCCAUCCACCACCUCUCUUUGCAAACUGUUCCACUGCUUCACCACCCUUAUUGCAAAAAACUUCCUCCUUACAUCCAAUCUUAAUCUUCCCUCCUUUAGUUUGAAACCAUUUCCCCUUCUCCUAUCACAGCAGACCCUGCUAAAGAGUCUGUCCCCUUCUUGCUUACAGCCCCCAUUGACCACCGUUCUCUGGGUAUGCUCCUAUAACCACCUCCUCACACACUGAACAGUCCAGAUCCAAAUCUUUCUAAUUUGGAGGGAAGGAUGUUAUGGGGGACAGUGACAAAGGCUGUGCUGAAGCUCAGAUAAAUGACUUCAGUGGCUCAAUGACUUCUUACAUACCACUGAGAAUGGCUUGGCAACUACGCUGGCCAUUCCCUCAGGACACCGGGAUGCAUCUCAUCAGGACCCACAGACAUAUGGACAUCACAAUCCCUUACCCACAGCUCCAUACUGCUGCCCAGUCACUGCUACGUAAAGAGAGGAUGUAGGAAUGCAUUUCCACAGGCAAGGUCAUAAAAAAUACAACUACUCCCACCCUGUAACCACUCGGCCACGGUGAUCAGAUCGAACCAAAGGGUGGGAUGAAGGCAUUUGAAACGUCAGUGAAUCACUCAGCAGUGCACAGGGCAAUCUACUGAACCACUCCUGGGUGAAUUCCACCCAACACAACGAGUCCUACGCAGAUUUUUUACUCAAGACAACGAUUCCUACCCAGAUUCCUACACCAGCACUCGUUCUCCUGUGACCUCUUCAGCCAGGUUUGAUGUAAUCCCAUUCUCUGAACCUUGCUACAACUCAGCGCUUGUUCUGCAGAACAGCAGUCCCACUGAGUUCUUUCUCUUAUCCUAUCUGUCUUGUUUAUUUUGGACUGUAUCUGCUGAGAAAAGGUCUUAGAUGUGCAUGUGGGCGCACACAGCCCUGGCACAAUGGAUAGAGCAGUGUGAACGCUUCCUGAGAUAAAUACUGCUAUCAGUAUAUCACUGCCAUCCCCUCGCUCUCUCAGGUGUCGUUAAAAAAUGAAAGGUUCGUUGUAGAAGUCCUUAUUCUCUGGAAGGGAGGCUGUAAACUUUUCCUCUGAUCUCAUGUCGUUUUAUUCCGUAAUUUGCAUUUUGGGAAGGAAAAAGAAACCUUUCCGUAAGACUCCAGUGUAUAAAUCUCAGUUUAUUGUUUUCUAUCAGGGCAAAAUGUUAGUUCUGUGCCAGGUGUCUUAAAUUAAUAGGCUACAGGUUUAAAGCAAGGAGAAAAAUGCCAAAAAUGUUCCCUCAUUCGUUCUAGCCUUGAAAAGCACUGAUUUAAUUAAUCUUCCUUCAUCAGCAGUAGAAAGCAUGGGUCUAAUUGCAAGCUCAGAAGCACCAGUUGUCCAAGUGAUUGGAUGGUAGUUAGAGAUGAAAGAGAGUAAAACAAGGCAUUGAUGAAUGCAGGUUUAUUAGGAGCUCUGUCUCAUUGACUUGUCUCGUGAAGCAGUUGGAAAUCGGCUACAAAGUAAUAAAAGAAAAUUAAAACACAUAAAACUUUGUUAAAGUAACGUGGAAAGGCCCCCAUUAAACCAAGGGAAAAAAAAAAGAAAAAGGCAAGGAGCUAGGAAGUGAGAAGUAAAACACAUCGUAAAGACUUACUGUCCAAUCCAAAGCCCAUUGAAAUCAAUGGCACGGUGAUAUACGGAGUGGAAGCGUAUUACUCAGCCAUUAGAGGACUAUUUGGGUUAUGUGGAGCCAUGGAGCAUGUGCACUUAUUGCUACAGAACAAGGCCACCUUGGGUAGAAAGCUCUCUGUAGGCAUAUGAGUAGGUGUACGCAACAAUACGCACAUGGAAGAUGGCAAAGCACAUAUAGAAGAUGGUAGAACACAUAUAGAAGAUGGCAAAGUACACAUAGAAAAUGGCAGAGCUUGUAUAGAAGAUGGUAGAGCCCAUAUAGAAGAUGACAAAGCACGUAUGGAAAAUGGCAGAGCCCAUAGAGAAGAUGGAAGAGCACACAGAGAAGAUGGUAGAGCCCAUAGAGAAGAUGGCAAAGCACAUAUAGGAGAUGGCAGAGCCCAUAUGGAAGAUGGUAGAGCACAUAUGAAAGAUGGUAGAGCCCAUAUAGAAAGCAGGUUACCAGCAUCGUGGUGGCUGGGGGAGUAAACGUUUGGGAAGAACUAGAAAGUCCCAAAGAUUUUAACUUGAUUUUUUUCACUCUGGUUUUAUAGAACUACAGAAGCCUGGAGAUGUGAGACCAAGACUUGAGGCCUGUCAUUAUUCUCAUGUUUGGUCCUGUUCUUUCCUACCUGGCUGCCUGUUUGUACAUCCUGGCUUUGUCCCUCUCAGUGCAGUUUGUCACAGCAGAAGCCUGCCAGGUCUCCUGGGUGUUUGCACAGUACCUAAAAAGUCUACAAUUUUGGUAAUAUGCAGCUGGCAUAAAUGGAGAUAAUGCAGGGGGAGGAGAGAGAAGACAAGGUAGUGCUGGAAAUUAGUGUGCUUGCAUAAGUCAAUAAUCACAGGGGUCUCCCAGGUGGCAGCCAUCCUAGCUUCUAAAUUUAAUAGAUUAGAUGGAAAAUAAUGCCUCCCCCAACACUUCCCCUUAGGGGACUGGUACUUCUCAGGGAAGCGUUUCCAGUAAUUAGCACCUGUGUCUUACAGAAAUCAGAGCCUGCCAUGGCUUCUGAGCAGGGCAGUGGGAAGUUCUGCCACAUUUGCAUUUCUUUCUAUCAGAAAUGUGCUGCAGAGUUUGCAGUCAGCUCUGGGAGGGCUCGUGGCAGCGCCCCGGGGCUCAGCCCCAUGCAGGGCUCUGUGAGCAGAAGCAGAAUAAUCCAAUUGCUGGCACACAAAGGAAGCCUGAGAUUAUUCCAGAUCAGACCCGAGGAUGCAGAUCAGUGGCAAAAUAUGCUGUAUUUCAGCAGAGGUUCAGUUCAGCCCCACAGUUUCCUUACAAAACAUCAGGACUGCCCUCAAGGCAAACUCUGCCUUCCCCCUGCCUGCCUCUAGUGCUGUUAGCCAUGCUGGGUUUCCCAGUCUCUAGCUGUAGACAGUGGACUGGGGAAUGAAAAGAGAGCUUUCAAGGGAGUUGAGCAUCACUGGGAGGUGCCUUUAGCUGUAAUGACCAAUGAAAUGUCUGUUAUGGAGAAGAGCAGAGCAAUGCUGAUCACUCACAACGUACCAAAUUCAUAUUUAGGCUCACUCCUAUAUAUGAAGUGCAGUGGAAGAUACACACCGUAAUCCAGAGCCACACUGUGGUCACACACAGAGAGCCUUUUUUCAGGAAACAAAAGAACCACAACACUGCUGGUGAGCCCUGAUGCCUCUCUUGUACCCACUAGGUUGGCUUUGGUAGGUAGGGGAAAAAAUAAUUGAUGAGCAGGGAGACUCCAGGGACUGCCUGAUUCUAAAUCAGGAGAUAGCAUGCUGGUAAUCAGGAAAUGGAAUUUGAAUAAUAACCAUUUUCCCCCUUCAAUUGCUCGUUUUGCUGUUUUCACUUGCAAAUCCCCAGCACCGUGCUCUGCAGGCACAGAGAUCUCUGACCUUCCUGGGAAAGCAGCGCUGAUGCUGAAGCAGAGCAAUCUCAGCAGUGUGGGGUGGAUGUGAACUCACCCCAAAGGGUCGGGAUGGCAAUUAGGAAUGGAGCAACGCAGAUAAACUCCUUGCAGGUCUGGCCCAACACACACAGCUGUCCUGGUGGAUACCCAACUUCCUUUUGCAGACCACCUUGGUGCUAUCUUGCAGCUAUAGAUAGAUAAAUACUGUAGUAAAUGCAACACAACAUGGGUUUUUUUUUUGCCUCUCUCAAGCAAAUGUGACUAUAAAGAGAUCUGGUAAAGUAUGAUAAUCAAUACACUAUUUGAAUGUGCAGAAAGGAGAUUGAUUUUUAAUGAGGCACUUAGUUUUCUGAACGAAUCCCAUCUUCCUCCAGCAUUUUGAUUACAGCCACUUCUCUGAUCCUAAAACUUCUCCUGCUUCAAGAAUUACUUAAAAAAAGUCUUUGUGUAUGGAAAGUGAUUGAUUCCUUUAUUUUAUUUUGCAAACCCAAUUUUGCUUGCUCUGUGUAGACGAUGAUACAAUUAUUUAUUUUGCUGCUUUGUCACUUCGUUGCUUCAUGGGAGGGAAAAAAAAAGAUUGGAAUUAUUUUUUUGCUAGUGAUUAAAACAACAAUAAAAACAACCUUUUGUGGCACGAGUAUAAACCAUCAGAUCAUCGGGGCUGCAAUGGCCUUAAAUCUACCACAACUGCCACUUCGAAUUUGUUCACAUCUGUGUCUGUGUUAAACCAUGAGUGAGGAUGAGCUUGGCCAACAUUUGGGCUUUGCCUUCACACUGCCCCAACUGCUCCUUGCAAAUCCAAACCCACCAAACCUCUCAUUGUGUGGCUUACCAGGGCUGGGGACCGAUGGAGGUCAGUGUCUCGUGGGUGGUGGAAGGCAGACACGUGGAGAUAGCUCCAUUGCAAGAGCUGUUUUGCCAAAGGGGAUGUUUGACACAAGCUGAAGUUGCAAAGGAUGGUCUGUAUGAUGGAGACGUGGCUGUGGUUUGGAGUCGAAGAAACCUUUGGUCUUGACUGCUGCAAAAUAUGGGGAAAAUAUUUUUGAAUCACAGGAUCACAGAAGGGUUCAUCAUCACUGGAAUGGACCUUCCAACCAAAGCUGUUUUGUGAGUCUAUAAAAAUCCAUCUUUCGGGGCUUAUCUCCGCUUGGCAAAGCGAUACCUGGCCAUAGCAAACAGCACUGCAUUUAUGCCAACACCAAACUGGAGUUAAGCACAGGGCAGGAGCCAGCUUCGCCAUUUGGCACCAACUCCACGCGCUGGCAUUUGUAAAGCAAAGACCUAUUUCACUGCCAGCAUCAGAAAGGUUGUUCUCAGGAGCAUCCCUCCUACGAGGGUGUCAUGUCUGUGGUUGUGUUGGGUGACACGGAUGUGAACCGAGCCCCAGGUCUCUUGUUAUCCAGGGGAAAUGGAAGACAUUCACCCAGCACGGUCUAACGAGGCAGAACUCAUUGCCUGUCGCUGUUCCUUUGA
Long non-coding RNA from Gallus gallus (chicken), 8944 nucleotides. NCBI's taxonomy places the organism in Eukaryota, Metazoa, Chordata, Aves, Galliformes, Phasianidae. The record is from Ensembl.